AGACACACAGGCAGACAUACUGACAAACACACAGACAUACUGACACACAGACAUACUGACACACACACAGGCAGACAUACUGACACACACAGACAUACUGACACACACACAGACACACAGACAUACUGACACACACACAGACAUACUGACAAACACACACACAGGCAUACUGACAUACACAGACACACACACAGACAUACACACAGACAUACUGACAUA
This is a non-coding RNA of Pelobates cultripes (western spadefoot toad), 219 nucleotides long. The record is from the annotation of a GenBank genome assembly. NCBI's taxonomy places the organism in Eukaryota, Metazoa, Chordata, Amphibia, Anura, Pelobatidae.